This is a long non-coding RNA of Cotesia glomerata, 314 nucleotides long. RefSeq lists it as uncharacterized. The transcript is spliced from 3 exons. The record is from RefSeq and is a predicted model, not a curated record. NCBI's taxonomy places the organism in Eukaryota, Metazoa, Arthropoda, Insecta, Hymenoptera, Braconidae.
GUGUACGGUGUGGCGACGGGUCGCCACGCUAUACUGAGUAGAGUGUACGGUGUGGCUUCUCACUCAGUUCGACGUUGUUGUUUACUACGGUACACAUAACCUGCGUUUUAUUUAAUUUUGAUGUGAAACAUUUUUAUUUUAAUUUUUGACAAUAAAAUAUGUGUGAUAGUGAUAACUCAGAAGAUCAAAGUGAUCAACCUUGUGCAAAGAAAGUGAAACUACACUAUGGCAUACUACCAAGUCAUCAUUCCCAACAAUCAUCACAGGAAUCACAAAAUAUUAUUAUUGAAACUGGAUACCACCCUGAUCAGUUA